GACGAACCGUGCGAACGUUAUUCGGAAUCACUGGGCUUAAAAGCGCGUGGUAGGCGGGACGGCACGUCGGUCGCUGAAAGCCCCCGGCUCAACCGGGGAACGGGCGCGCAUACGACCGGCCUGGAGGGACGUAGGGGGACCGUGGAACGUUCCGGUGGAGCGGUGAAAUGCGUUGAGAGUCGGAAGGAACGCCCGUGGCGAAAGGCGGAAG
Molecule: ribosomal RNA, 211 nt
Filed under: uncultured bacterium
Lineage: Bacteria
Description: partial 16S ribosomal RNA
Rfam family: Bacterial small subunit ribosomal RNA
Source: RNAcentral